This 301-nucleotide ribosomal RNA is filed under the name uncultured bacterium. RNAcentral describes it as "partial 16S ribosomal RNA". It matches the Rfam family "Bacterial small subunit ribosomal RNA", at positions 509 to 808 of the family's 1533-position model. The record is from RNAcentral.
CAGUCGCCGCGGGAAUACGUAGGUCCCGAGCGUUGUCCGGAUUUAUUGGGCGUAAAGCGAGCGCAGGCGGUUAGAUAAGUCUGAAGUUAAAGGCUGUGGCUUAACCAUAGUACGCUUUGGAAACUGUUUAACUUGAGUGCAAGAGGGGAGAGUGGAAUUCCAUGUGUAGCGGUGAAAUGCGUAGAUAUAUGGAGGAACACUGGUGGCGAAAGCGGCUCUCUGGCUUGUAACUGACGCUGAGGCUCGAAAGCGUGGGGCGCAAACAGGAUUAGAUACCCCAGUAGUCCCUGUCUCUUAUACA